RNAcentral lists this ribosomal RNA (497 nucleotides) under uncultured bacterium. Its description in RNAcentral is "partial 16S ribosomal RNA". It matches the Rfam family "Bacterial small subunit ribosomal RNA", at positions 28 to 507 of the family's 1533-position model. The record is from RNAcentral.
GAUGAACGCUGGCGGCGUGCCUAAUACAUGCAAGUCGAGCGAACAGACGAGGAGCUUGCUCCUCUGACGUUAGCGGCGGACGGGUGAGUAACACGUGGAUAACCUACCUAUAAGACUGGGAUAACUUCGGGAAACCGGAGCUAAUACCGGAUAAUAUAUUGAACCGCAGGGUGCAAUAGUGAAAGACGGUUUUGCUGUCACUUAUAGAUGGAUCCGCGCCGCAUUAGCUAGUUGGUAAGGUAACGGCUUACCAAGGCAACGAUGCGUAGCCGACCUGAGAGGGUGAUAGGCCACCCUGGAACUGAGACACGGUCCAGACUCCUACGGGACGCAGCAGUCGGGUAUCUUCCGCAAUGGGCGAAAGCCUGACGGAGCAACCCCGCGCGAGUGAUGAAGGUCUUCGGAUCGUAAAACUCUGUUAUUAGGGAAGAACAACUGUGUACGUAACUAUGCACGUAUUGACGGUACCUAAUCAGAAAGCCCCGGCUAACUACGUG